CCCUUAGAUGUUCUGGGCCGCACGCGCGCUACACUGAUGCAUUCAACGAGUUUCUUCCUGGUCCGAGAGGAAUGGGUAACCUUUUGAAAGUGCAUCGUGAUAGGGAUAGACUAUUGCAAUUAUUGGUCUUCAACGAGGAAUUCCUAGUAGACGUAGUUCAUCAGACAGCAUCGAUUACGUCCCUGCCCUUUGUACACACCGCCCGUCGCUCCUACCGAUUGAAUGCUCAGGUGAGCCAUUCGGACUUUCAUCAUGCUGGUUUCCAGUUUUGAUGAAGGAAAGUCCUGCGAACCUUAUCAUUUAGAGGAAGGAGAAGUCGUAACA
This 324-nucleotide ribosomal RNA is filed under the name uncultured eukaryote. RNAcentral's name for it is "partial 18S ribosomal RNA". It matches the Rfam family "Eukaryotic small subunit ribosomal RNA", at positions 1470 to 1796 of the family's 1831-position model. The record is from RNAcentral.